GUGACGAAGCGACGCCGCGUGCGGGAAGAAGGCCCUCGGGUUGUAAACCGCUGUCGGGAGUUAAGAAAUGUAAGGAUGUUAAUAGCGUCCUUGCUUGACUAAGGCUCCGGAGGAAGCCACGGCUAACUCUGUGCCAGCAGCCGCGGUAAUACAGAGGCGGCAAGCGUUGUUCGGAAUUAUUGGGCGUAAAGAGCACGUAGGCGGCCGUGCAAGUCGGUUGUGAAAGCCUUCCGCUUAACGGAAGAACAGCAGCCGAUACUAUAUGGCUUGAGUACGGGAGGGGAGAGCGGAACUUCUGGUGGAGCGGUGAAAUGCGUAGAUAUCAGAAGGAACGCCGGCGGCGAAGGCGACUCUCUGGUCCGUAACUGACGCUGAGUGUGCGAAAGCUAGGGGAGCAAACGGGAUUAGAUACCCCGGUAGUCCUAGCCGUAAACGAU
This 437-nucleotide ribosomal RNA is filed under the name uncultured bacterium. Its description in RNAcentral is "bacterial SSU rRNA". It matches the Rfam family "Bacterial small subunit ribosomal RNA", at positions 383 to 810 of the family's 1533-position model. RNAcentral also lists the same sequence under 1 other name. The record is from RNAcentral.